GCGUGGUAGGAGAGCGUUCUGUAAGCCUGUGAAGGUGUCUUGUAAAGGAUGCUGGAGGUAUCAGAAGUGCGAAUGCUGACAUGAGUAGCGAUAAAGGGGGUGAAAGGCCCCCUCGCCGUAAGCCCAAGGUUUCCUACGCAACGUUCAUCGGCGUAGGGUGAGUCGGCCCCUAAGGCGAGGCAGAGAUGCGUAGCUGAUGGGAAGCAGGUUAAUAUUCCUGCACCGUCGUAUGAUGCGAUGGGGGGACGGAUCGCGGAAGGUUGUCCGGGUGUUGGAAGUCCCGGUCCCUGCAUUGGAGAAGGCGCUCAGGCAAAUCCGGGCGCGGGAUUCAAGGAUGUGGGGCGAGCGGCCUAGUGCUGCGAAGCAAUUGGAAGUGGUUCCAAGAAAAGCCUCUAAGCUUCAGUCAUACGAGACCGUACCGCAAACCGACACAGGUGGGCGAGAUGAGUAUUCUAAGGCGCUUGAGAGAACUCGGGAGAAGGAACUCGGCAAAUUGGUACCGUAACUUCGGGAUAAGGUACGCCCUGGUAGCUUGACUGGCCUGCGCCAGAAGGGUGAAGGGGUUGCAAUAAAAUGGUGGCUGCGACUGUUUAAUAAAAACACAGCACUCUGCAAACACGAAAGUGGACGUAUAGGGUGUGACGCCUGCCCGGUGCCGGAAGAUUAAAUGAUGGGGUGCAAGCUCUUGAUUGAAGUCCCGGUAAACGGCGGCCGUAACUAUAACGGUCCUAAGGUAGCGAAAUUCCUUGUCGGGUAAGUUCCGACCUGCACGAAUGGCGUAACGAUGGCCACACUGUCUCCUCCCGAGACUCAGCGAAGUUGAAGUGUUUGUGAUGAUGCAAUCUCCCCGCGGCUAGACGGAAAGACCCCAUGAACCUUUACUGUAGCUUUGCAUUGGACUUUGAACCG
Molecule: ribosomal RNA, 909 nt
Filed under: Cupriavidus sp. L7L
Lineage: Bacteria; Pseudomonadati; Pseudomonadota; Betaproteobacteria; Burkholderiales; Burkholderiaceae
Description: partial 23S ribosomal RNA
Rfam family: Bacterial large subunit ribosomal RNA
Source: RNAcentral